ACAUACGACCAUAGACUAGAGAACAUUGGGCAUCCCGUCCGCUCUGCCAUACACAAGCUCUAGAUCGGCAGAUUAGUAGUUGGGUGGGUGACCACCAGCGAAUACCUGCUGUUGUAUGUU
This is a ribosomal RNA of Glarea lozoyensis 74030, 120 nucleotides long. Lineage: Eukaryota; Fungi; Ascomycota; Leotiomycetes; Helotiales; Helotiaceae. The record is from Rfam.